RNAcentral lists this ribosomal RNA (286 nucleotides) under uncultured Bifidobacteriaceae bacterium. RNAcentral's name for it is "partial 16S ribosomal RNA". It matches the Rfam family "Bacterial small subunit ribosomal RNA", at positions 55 to 339 of the family's 1533-position model. Lineage: Bacteria; Bacillati; Actinomycetota; Actinomycetes; Bifidobacteriales; Bifidobacteriaceae. The record is from RNAcentral.
AUGCAAGUCGAACGGGAUCCCAGGAGCUUGCUCCUGGGUGAGAGUGGCGAACGGGUGAGUAAUGCGUGACCGACCUGCCCCAUACACCGGAAUAGCUCCUGGAAACGGGUGGUAAUGCCGGAUGCUCCGACUCCUCGCAUGGGGUGUCGGGAAAGAUUCUAUCGGUAUGGGAUGGGGUCGCGUCCUAUCAGGUAGUCGGCGGGGUAACGGCCCACCGAGCCUACGACGGGUAGCCGGGUUGAGAGACCGACCGGCCACAUUGGGACUGAGAUACGGCCCAGACUCC